GAACGGGCACACUGGAACUGAGACACGGUCCAGACUCCUACGGGAGGCAGCAGUAGGGAAUAUUGCUCAAUGGGGGAAACCCUGAAGCAGCAACGCCGCGUGGAGGAUGAAGGUUUUAGGAUUGUAAACUCCUUUUGUUAGAGAAGAUAAUGACGGUAUCUAACGAAUAAGCACCGGCUAACUCCGUGCCAGCAGCCGCGGUAAUACGGAGGGUGCAAGCGUUACUCGGAAUCACUGGGCGUAAAGAGCGCGUAGGCGGGAUAGUCAGUCAGGUGUGAAAUCCUAUGGCUUAACCAUAGAACUGCAUUUGAAACUACUAUUCUAGAGUGUGGGAGAGGU
RNAcentral lists this ribosomal RNA (339 nucleotides) under uncultured Helicobacter sp. RNAcentral's name for it is "bacterial SSU rRNA". It matches the Rfam family "Bacterial small subunit ribosomal RNA", at positions 302 to 658 of the family's 1533-position model. Lineage: Bacteria; Pseudomonadati; Campylobacterota; Epsilonproteobacteria; Campylobacterales; Helicobacteraceae. The record is from RNAcentral.